GAUGAACGCUGGCGGCGUGCCUAAUACAUGCAAGUCGAGCGAACGGACGAUAAGCUUGCUUUUCUGAUGUUAGCGGCGGACGGGUGAGUAACACGUGGAUAACCUACCUAUAAGACUGGGAUAACUUCGGGAAACCGGAGCUAAUACCGGAUAAUAUUUUGAACCGCAUGGUUCAAAAGUGAAAGACGGUCUUGCUGUCACUUAUAGAUGGAUCCGCGCUGCAUUAGCUAGUUGGUAAGGUAACGGCUUACCAAGGCAACGAUGCAUAGCCGACCUGAGAGGGUGAUCGGCCACACUGGAACUGAGACACGGUCCAGACUCCUACGGGAGGCAGCAGUAGGGAAUCUUCCGCAAUGGGCGAAAGCCUGACGGAGCAACGCCGCGUGAGUGAUGAAGGUCUUCGGAUCGUAAAACUCUGUUAUUAGGGAAGAACAUAUGUGUAAGUAACUGUGCACAUCUUGACGGUACCUAAUCAGAAAGCCACGGCUAACUACGUG
RNAcentral lists this ribosomal RNA (497 nucleotides) under uncultured bacterium. RNAcentral's name for it is "partial 16S ribosomal RNA". It matches the Rfam family "Bacterial small subunit ribosomal RNA", at positions 28 to 507 of the family's 1533-position model. The record is from RNAcentral.